AUUAAUUGAAACCAAAUAGAGGUAUGUCACUGUUAAUGGCAAAAUUGAAUAAUAAUUCCAAUUAAA
This 66-nucleotide transfer RNA is filed under the name Laelia suffusa. Its description in RNAcentral is "tRNA-Asn". The record is from RNAcentral. Lineage: Eukaryota; Metazoa; Arthropoda; Insecta; Lepidoptera; Erebidae. RNAcentral also lists the same sequence under 1 other name.